UCGGCUUAGAGUUUGAUCCUGGCUCAGGAUGAACGCUGGCGGCGUGCCUAACACAUGCAAGUCGAACGGGAACCUCUGGAUUCGUCUGGGGGGGAGAGUGGCGAACGGGUGAGUAACACGUAGGUGACCUGCCCUGAAGCGGGGAAUAACCACUGGAAACGGUGGCUAAUACCCCAUGUGCUCCGCGGUUCAGUCCGUUGAGUAAAGCUCCGGCGCUUCAGGAGGGGCCUGCGGCCCAUCAGGUAGUUGGUAGGGUAAUGGCCUACCAAGCCAAUGACGGGUAGGGGGCGUGAGAGCGUGAUCCCCCACACUGGCACUGAGACACGGGCCAGACUCCUACGGGAGGCAGCAGUGAGGAAUAUUGCCCAAUGGACGCAAGUCUGAGGCAGCAACGCCGCGUGAGCGAUGAAGGCCUUCGGGUUGUAAAGCUCUUUUCUGGGGGACGAGGAAGGACGGUACCUCAGGAAUAAGUCACGGCUAACUACGUGCCAGCAGCCGCGGUAAUACGUAGGUGGCGAGCGUUAUCCGGAUUUACUGGGCGUAAAGCGCGUGUAGGCGGUUCUGUAAGUCGGACGUGAAAGCUCCUGGCUUAACUGGGAGAGGUCGUUCGAUACUGCGGGACUUGAGGUCGGGAGAGGGACGUGGAAUUCCCGGUGUAGUGGUGGAAUGCGUAGAUAUCGGGAGGAACACCAGUGGCGAAGGCGACGUCCUGGCCCGCACCUGACGCUAAGACGCGAAAGCGUGGGUAGCGAACGGGAUUAGAUACCCCGGUAGUCCACGCCGUAAACGGUGGAUACUAGGUGUUGGUGACUAUCGUCAUCAGUGCCGUAGCUAACGCGUUAAGUAUCCCGCCUGGGGACUACGGCCGCAAGGCUAAAACUCAAAGGAAUUGACGGGGACCCGCACAAGCAGCGGAGCGUGUGGUUUAAUUCGAGGCUACGCGAAGAACCUUACCUGGAUUUGACAUGACGGUUGUAGGAAACUGAAAGGUGACCGACCCUUCGGGGAGCCGCCACAGGUGCUGCAUGGCUGUCGUCAGCUCGUGCCGUGAGGUGUUAGGUUAAGUCCUGUAACGAGCGCAACCCUUACCGUCAGUUACAUGUGUCUGGCGGGACUGCCGGUGACAAACCGGAGGAAGGUGGGGAUGACGUCAAGUCAGCAUGGCCUUUAUGUCCAGGGCUACACACACGCUACAAUGGCCGGUACAAUAGGUUGCCAAGCCGCGAGGCGGAGCCAAUCCUCUAAAGCCGGUCUCAGUUCGGAUUGCAGGCUGCAACUCGCCUGCAUGAAGUUGGAGUUGCUAGUAACCGCAGGUCAGCUACACUGCGGUGAAUACGUUCCCGGGCCUUGUACACACCGCCCGUCACGUCAUGGGAGCUGGCAACACCUGAAGUCGGUGCGCUAACCGCAAGGAGGCAGCUGUCGAAGGUGGGACUGGUGACUGGGACGAAGUCGUAACAUGGUAACC
RNAcentral lists this ribosomal RNA (1468 nucleotides) under uncultured prokaryote. RNAcentral's name for it is "partial 16S ribosomal RNA". It matches the Rfam family "Bacterial small subunit ribosomal RNA". The record is from RNAcentral.